Molecule: unclassified non-coding RNA, 200 nt
Filed under: soil metagenome
Description: partial contains internal transcribed spacer 2 and large subunit ribosomal RNA
Source: RNAcentral
UUUGGCUUGGUGUUGGGUGCCGUCCCCCCGCGAGGUUGGGGCGCGCCCGGAAAUCAGCGGCGGUGCAGCCGGGCGAUCGAGCGUAGUAAAAGCCACAAACUUUUCGCUUCGAGCUCGCCCGGACGUUCUGGCCGGACAAAAACCCCCCAUCUUUCUCAAAGAUUGACCUCGGAUCAGGUAGGGUUACCCGCUGAACUUAA